GAUGAACGCUGGCGGCGUGCCUAAUACAUGCAAGUCGAGCGAACAGACGAGGAGCUUGCUCCUCUGACGUUAGCGGCGGACGGGUGAGUAACACGUGGAUAACCUACCUAUAAGACUGGGAUAACUUCGGGAAACCGGAGCUAAUACCGGAUAAUAUAUUGAACCGCAUGGUUCAAUAGUGAAAGACGGUUUUGCUGUCACUUAUAGAUGGAUCCGCGCCGCAUUAGCUAGUUGGUAAGGUAACGGCUUACCAAGGCAACGAUGCGUAGCCGACCUGAGGGGGUGAUCGGCCACACGGGAACUGAGACACGGUCCAGACUCCUACGGGAGGCCGCAGUAGGGAAUCUUCCGCAAAGGGCGAAAGCCUGACGGAGCAACGCCGCGUGAGUGAUGAAGGUCUUCGGAUCGUAAAACUCUGUUAUUAGGGAAGAACAAAUGUGUAAGUAACUAUGCACGUCUUGACGGUACCUAAUCAGAAAGCCACGGCUAACUACGUG
RNAcentral lists this ribosomal RNA (497 nucleotides) under uncultured bacterium. RNAcentral describes it as "partial 16S ribosomal RNA". It matches the Rfam family "Bacterial small subunit ribosomal RNA", at positions 28 to 507 of the family's 1533-position model. The record is from RNAcentral.